Molecule: ribosomal RNA, 465 nt
Filed under: Vreelandella stevensii
Lineage: Bacteria; Pseudomonadati; Pseudomonadota; Gammaproteobacteria; Oceanospirillales; Halomonadaceae
Description: partial 16S ribosomal RNA
Rfam family: Bacterial small subunit ribosomal RNA
Source: RNAcentral
CCUACGGGUGGCUGCAGUGGGGAAUGUUGGACAAUGGGCGAAAGCCUGAUCCAGCCAUGCCGCGUGUGUGAAGAAGGCCUUCGGGUUGUAAAGCACUUUCAGUGGGGAAGAAAGCCUUGGGGCUAAUACCCUCGAGGAAGGACAUCACCCACAGAAGAAGCACCGGCUAACUCCGUGCCAGCAGCCGCGGUAAUACGGAGGGUGCGAGCGUUAAUCGGAAUUACUGGGCGUAAAGCGCGCGUAGGCGGUCUGAUAAGCCGGUUGUGAAAGCCCCGGGCUCAACCUGGGAACGGCAUCCGGAACUGUCAGGCUAGAGUGCAGGAGAGGAAGGUAGAAUUCCCGGUGUAGCGGUGAAAUGCGUAGAGAUCGGGAGGAAUACCAGUGGCGAAGGCGGCCUUCUGGACUGACACUGACGCUGAGGUGCGAAAGCGUGGGUAGCAAACAGGAUUAGAUACCCGAGUAGUC